AUUGAACGCUGGCGGCAUGCCUUACACAUGCAAGUCGAACGGCAGCACGGGUGCUUGCACCUGGUGGCGAGUGGCGAACGGGUGAGUAAUACAUCGGAACGUACCUUAUCGUGGGGGAUAACGCAGCGAAAGCUGUGCUAAUACCGCAUACGCCCUGAGGGGGAAAGCGGGGGAUCGAAAGGCCUCGCGCGAUUAGAGCGGCCGAUGCCUGAUUAGCUUGUUGGUGGGGUAAAAGCCCACCAAGGCGACGAUCAGUAGCUGGUCUGAGAGGACGAUCAGCCGCAGUGGGACUGAGACACGGCCCAGACUCCUACGGGAGGCAGCAGUGGGGAAUUUUGGACAAUGGGGGCAACCCUGAUCCAGCAAUGCCGCGUGAGUGAAGAAGGCCUUCGGGUUGUAAAGCUCUUUUGUCAGGGAAGAAACACCGGCUCUAACACAGUCCGGGAAUGACGGUACCUGAAGAAUAAGCACCGGCUAACUACGUGCCAGCCGCCGCGGUAA
This 501-nucleotide ribosomal RNA is filed under the name uncultured bacterium. Its description in RNAcentral is "partial 16S ribosomal RNA". It matches the Rfam family "Bacterial small subunit ribosomal RNA", at positions 29 to 523 of the family's 1533-position model. The record is from RNAcentral.